Molecule: long non-coding RNA, 1856 nt
Organism: Mesocricetus auratus (golden hamster)
Lineage: Eukaryota; Metazoa; Chordata; Mammalia; Rodentia; Cricetidae
Exons: 3
Source: RefSeq, a predicted model, not a curated record
GGCGCCUCCCGCUGCAUCCACGGCGCCCGCGGCUCCAUCCUCGGAUCCUCGGCGUCGCUGUCGAAGCGCACGAACUCCGUGUCAUCCACGUAACCGACGACAAUGAACCGGGGCUCCCGGAGGCCGGGCCUGGACGUGAUGCCAAUAGGGGUGCGAAGCGCUGCGUCGUCAUCAGUGUCCGGGCAGAAGGAGCUGACACAGGUCAGGAGCUGGAGAAGUGAAACUGGGGACAGGGGAAUCCCCAGCGAUGGGCUUCUCCACCAGGACCUCACCGCCCUGGACCAAGACUUUGUCUGACCCUGAGCUGGGGACAGAGCGCGUUUGUCCCGGGGUCUCUGGGCCGACCAAGGCCACCUGCUCCCCAGGUCAGGAUGAAACCAAAGAGCAUGACGUUUGCGGGUGAAACACAGGCAGCGUUAAAAUGAAUGUUCAUGGAAACAGACGCUGUCACAGUCCUGAUCUUUGUCCCAGUGGGGAAGGGGUUCCACUGUGCUGAGACGAUGACCCAGGUCCACACAGACAAUCUGAGGACUAUGGAGUGAAGAUCCGUGUAAGACACAACCACCUGGAGCCACAGACGGUCAUCUGGGAAGAAACACUAGGAGUCUCAGUGUAAGCACAAGAGAUGCUUACCAGAGAUGCCCACUUCUGGAAGGUUCCAUCCCCAGAAGGUCUGGUCUCCACCAGCUCCAUGUCCUGGGUCUGUUCCUCCUCCUCCCUCUGCCAGGUCAGGGUGAUGUCAGCGGGGUAGAAGCCCAGGGCCCAGCACCUCAGGGUGACAUCACCUUUCUGUCCAGGAUGAUGGGUCACAUGUGCCUUUGGGGGAUCUGUGUGGAAGAUUUAAGAAAUCCCACCAUAACAAGGUAAACUGAAAUCUGCAAAGACACAAUUUAAUCAAAGAUAACACUGAACACUUCUGACUGUCAUCCCACUAGUGACCUGCAGGAGGAGGUGGUGCCCCUCAUCACAGAUCUGCAGGUUUCCCAUUGGAUUCAAAUGAUGGGCCGGUGGGCGGUGGCCGCGGGACGAGGGUGGGCGGGGCGGACCGCUGGGUCCCUGCAGACUCUCACACCUCCCAGUGAAUGGACAGCUGUCAUUCGGUGUCGGAUGGGCCCCUUGUUCGCGGGUAUCAACAGUUCGCCUACAAAGGCGACGAUUUCAUCUCCCUGAACGACACCUGAGGACGCAGACGGCGGUGGGCACAGCAGCGCAGAUCACCCAGGGCAAGUGGGAGCAGGCUGGUGAGGCGAAAACAUGGAGGACCUACCUGGAGCACAUAUGCCUGCCAUUGCUCAGCAGAUACCUGGAGAACGGGAAGGACCAGCUGCUGAGCACAGGUUCAGGCGCCCAGGGCAACUCCAGGGCUCAGUCCUGAGGAAGAAGAGACCUCAGCUGGGGUCCCGCCCCUGUCUCUGAAGGACACAGUGUCCCUGGGGCUCCUGAUCCAGCCUGGCAGGGACUGCACUGAUCUCCCAGGGCUCAGCCUUCUGCCUGGAAGGUUCCAGAUCUGUCUCAGGAGGGAGGAGAGAAGAUGCCCACAUCCCCAGCCGUGGCUCCUUCAGUCUGCAGCCCUGGGUCAGCCAUGGCCUCUCCCAGGCCGGGUUCUCUGCCCUGACCCAGUGUCUGAGUGUGUCAGCCUUACACACCGGGAGCACAGUCUCCUUUACCUGAUGGGAGACGUGGACGCCCCUACCCUAUGCUGGUUCCCCAACUUAUACAACUUUCCAAAAAUGAGCAUUUUACCAGAUAACUGAGUGUGAUUUUUCCAUCCUUCCCUCACCCCAAUUCUCUCUUCCUAAAAUGGGAAUGGUCACUUGAGCACUUAAGGGGUGCCGUGAAAAAAGCUCUAAAAUAUG